Molecule: ribosomal RNA, 785 nt
Filed under: uncultured Bacteroidota bacterium
Lineage: Bacteria; Pseudomonadati; Bacteroidota
Description: bacterial SSU rRNA
Rfam family: Bacterial small subunit ribosomal RNA
Source: RNAcentral
AAACGGCAUUAUGUGCUUGCACAUUUUGGACGUCGACCGGCGCACGGGUGAGUAUCGCGUAUCCAACCUGCCCUUUACUUGGGGAUACCCCGUUGAAAGACGGCCUAAUACCCGAUGUAAUUCAUUGACGGCAUCAGAUAUGAAUAAAAGAUUUAUCGGUAAAGGAUGGGGAUGCGUCUGAUUAGCUUGUUGGUGAGGUAAUGGCUCACCAAGGCAACGAUCAGUAGGGGUUCUGAGAGGAAGGUCCCCCACAUUGGAACUGAGACACGGUCCAAACUCCUACGGGAGGCAGCAGUGAGGAAUAUUGGUCAAUGGGCGCAAGCCUGAACCAGCCAAGUAGCGUGCAGGAAGACGGCCCUAUGGGUUGUAAACUGCUUUUAUACGAGAAUAAUUUGAUGCACGUGUGCGUUAUUGCAUGUAUCGUAUGAAUAAGGACCGGCUAAUUCCGUGCCAGCAGCCGCGGUAAUACGGAAGGUCCAGGCGUUAUCCGGAUUUAUUGGGUUUAAAGGGAGUGUAGGCGGUUUGUUAAGCGUGUUGUGAAAUUUAGAUGCUCAACAUUUAACUUGCAGCGCGAACUGUCAGACUUGAGUACACGCAACGUAUGCGGAAUUCAUGGUGUAGCGGUGAAAUGCUUAGAUAUCAUGAAGAACUCCGAUUGUGAAGGCAGCAUACGGGAGUGUAACUGACGCUUAAGCUUGAAGGUGCGGGUAUCGAACAGGAUUAGAUACCCUGGUAGUCCGCACAGUAAACGAUGGAUGCCCGCUGUUAGCGCCUGGCGUUAGCGG